GGGAAAUGCUGACACCUGCUCCAACGCGGACGGACCUGGAGGACAUUACGCCGAGGGAAAUAAUCGGGUCACAACAGGACAGAUGCUGCAGGAUCCCGCUCAUGGGAGGUCCCUGGAGUCAAGUUCACAGAGACGGGAAGUGGACGGUGGUUCCCAGGGCUGGGGUGGGGGCAGGCGGCAAGGAAUCACCUGGGAUGCACGGAUGUGGCAGGCGCAGGGUGACGUGCCCGCUGUCCCAGGCCUGGGCUCUGACCGGCGACAGUCACCAUGAGCCGUGCCCCGCGUACUGGCCUCCCACGGUGGGCCCCCGGCUGCAGGCACACAAGGAGGGAGCCACCACCUGGCAGAACGAGGUUUAAGGGGGCACCAAAGAACUCAGGAGUCAAGAUAGAUGUUAUUCUAACACAGCGUUUUAAAGAAAUCAAAAUUAAUGCAAAAUGCCCACGAGGAAUAAAAUAGCAACAUUUUACACGCAGACAAGACCAGUCUCGGUGCCACGCUGAGGCGCUCCCGGGCCUGAGGCAAAGGGGAAGCACACCUGUGCGCUCGGCCCUUGCUGUGGCCCCACGUGCCGCUGCACCUGGGGCUCCGUGGCCACGGGGCCACAGUCCAAGGGCGCUGAGAUCCCUGGGAAUAGCCCUCCAUCACUCUCAGCCAGCCCCACCCCCUCAUAUGGGGUAACUCUGGGGGCUCCAGAGGGGCUGAGCCCAGGCGCCCACAGCUCAGUAUCUGCUGCCCAGCCAUCCCCAGCUCACUUCCUGCCUUCUCUACAGAUGCUUUCUUGAAUCCUCAUCUAGUGAAGCAGCUGCUCUCAACCCUUGUCUCAGGCUCUGCACUGGGGGGAAGCCAGCCCCAGGCAGACGUCCAUUAUGAUUCUCUUUAACGUGGCAAACUCUGUGACUCCUGACACCCCUCCUGACCUGGGGCAGGUCACUGGCAGGUCACUUCUGCUCCAGGGCCCCUCACAGGCUGCCAGCCGGGUGUCUUGGGGGCUGCAGUGUCAUCCGAGGGCUCGAGAGGGGAGGCUCCACCCCACAGUCAGCCUGAGCAGUUGGCAGGACUCAGCCCCCUGGCUGAGGAGAUGCUUCAGCUCCCGGCUGAGCGGGCCCCCCCGGGGCAGCUCACAGGGCAGCCACUGGCGUCAUUGGAGCUGGUGAGAGCGAGACGGAAGCCUCGGUCAUUUGGAAGCCGGUCUUGGAAGCGUGGCCCAGUCAUCUGUGUCUUAUUCUGUAGUUAGAAGUGAGUCUCAAGGUGCUGCCCGCGCUCCAGGACAAGGGAGGGACACGGUGUGAAUGCCAGGAGGCAGGAACCGUGGGGCCACCUUGGUGUCUGUCCACUGAUUUUCGCCUUCUUAGUGUAUGGCACCCUGACCUGCUCAGUUCUUCACCCCCAGAGGGGUGCCCUCCCGGACCCCUAUCUGUCUGCCAUGCCGUCUGUGAGGCCUCCGACCUGGCUCCAGAUGCCCUUCUGAUCCCGCCUCCUUCCCUCAGGGCUGGCUGUGCCCACCUCACGUCUCUUCUUGGAAGCUCAGUCCCACCUCAGGGCCUUUGCACCUGCCGUUCCCUCUGCCCGGAAUUCUCUGUCUCCAGACAUCUGCACGGCUCCCCCUUCAGGGUCUCUCACAGGCUGCCGGCGGGUGUCAGCUGGGGCUGCGGUCUCACUGGAAGCCUCAGUCAGGGAAGGAAACCCCUCCUGCAGGCCUCGGCUUCAACACGAGCUCUUUGAAGAUGCAUUCCUGGCCCAGCACAACACUGAGGCCUGUACGGUCGAGUCAGCUCAGCAGCCCAGGGGGCCCUGAUCCCGCACGUUCCCAAGAAAGGCCCAUCUGCAGGCCCGGCCCUACUCCUAGGAUGUCACCUGCUUGCCCCCGGGACGUCCUGCCUGUGAGAAUCUGCACCCUGGACCUCAGCCGGGACGGACGCCCUGGGCUCCUGUGAGAUUCCGCUGGGCCUGGGCCCCCGUUCAGAAUCAGCGGGACCUCUGCAGGGGCUGCAGCCCGGGCCAGCCGCACGCUGGUCAGCCACGCCUACGCGCCCACCUCCCCGUAAAACGCUGGGCCCCAGGGCUCAGGCGGGUGUCCCUGCUUGGCGACAGUCCACGUGGAGAAUUCACGGCUGUCCGCUGACUCCAAGGGCGGACACUGGAAGCUGGCGCCUGGCCUUGCCGGGUCCCGCUCCUCGAGCUUUUGCUCUUUGCUGACUUUAAUCUGUAUCCUUCCCCUGUGAUAAACCGUAAUCACGAGUAGAACAGCUUUUCUGCGGUCUGUGAGUCCUAGUGAAUCAUGCACCCCAAGGGGGGUCUUGGGGACCG
Long non-coding RNA from Equus caballus (horse), 2310 nucleotides. The record is from Ensembl. NCBI's taxonomy places the organism in Eukaryota, Metazoa, Chordata, Mammalia, Perissodactyla, Equidae.